This 845-nucleotide ribosomal RNA is filed under the name endophyte of Hexalectris spicata (cf. Thanatephorus). RNAcentral describes it as "LSU rRNA". It matches the Rfam family "Eukaryotic large subunit ribosomal RNA", at positions 72 to 925 of the family's 3401-position model. The record is from RNAcentral. Lineage: Eukaryota; Fungi; Basidiomycota; Agaricomycetes; Cantharellales; Ceratobasidiaceae.
GGAUUCCCUAGUAACGGCGAGUGAAGCGGGAAGAGCUCAAAUUUAAAAUCUGGCAGUGUCAUGCUGUCCGAGUUGUAGUCUAGAGAAGCAUCAUCCGCGCUGGACCAUGUACAAGUCUCUUGGAACAGAGCGUCAUAGAGGGUGAGAAUCCCGUCCUUGACAUGGACUCCCAGUGCUUUGUGUUGUGCUCUCAACGAGUCGAGUUGUUUGGGAAUGCAGCUCAAAAUGGGUGGUAAAUUCCAUCUAAAGCUAAAUAUUGGCGAGAGACCGAUAGCGAACAAGUACCGUGAGGGAAAGAUGAAAAGCACUUUGGAGAGAGAGUUAAACAGUACGUGAAAUUGUUGAAAUGGAAACGCUUGAAGUCAGUCGCGUUCUCUGGGACUCAGCCUUGCUUUUGCUUGGUGUAUUUCCUGGUCUACGGGCCAGCAUGGAUUUUGACCGAUGGAAAAAGAUUUGGGGAAUGUGGCACCUCCGGGUGUGUUAUAGCCCCUUGUCAUAUACAUUGGUUGGGAUUGAGGUCUUAGUGCACGCUUCGGUUGUGCUUUGAUGCUGGCGUAAUGGCUUUAAACGACCCGUCUUGAAACACGGACCAAGGAGUCUAACAUGUCUGCAAGUGUUUGGGUGCAAAACCCGAGCGCGUAAUGAAAGUGAUAGUUGGGAACCUCUCCAGGGGGGCACCGACGCCCGGACCAGACCUUCUGUGACGGAUCCGAGGUAGAGCAUAUAUGUUGGGACCCGAAAGAUGGUGAACUAUGCCUGCAUAGGGUGAAGCCAGAGGAAACUCUGGUGGAGGCUCGUAGCGAUUCUGACGUGCAAAUCGAUCGUCAAAUGUGGGUAUAGGGGCG